GUCCAGCAGCCGCGGUAAUACGGAGGGGGUUAGCGUUGUUCGGAAUUACUGGGCGUAAAGCGCGCGUAGGCGGACUAUUAAGUCAGGGGUGAAAUCCCGGGGCUCAACCCCGGAACUGCCCUUGAUACUGGUAGUCUAGAGUUCGAGAGAGGUGAGUGGAAUUCCGAGUGUAGGGGUGAAAUUCGUAGAUAUUCGGAGGAACACCAGUGGCGAAGGCGGCUCACUGGCUCGAUACUGACGCUGAGGUGCGAAAGCGUGGGGAGCAAACAGGAUUAGAUA
This 279-nucleotide ribosomal RNA is filed under the name uncultured bacterium. RNAcentral describes it as "partial 16S ribosomal RNA". It matches the Rfam family "Bacterial small subunit ribosomal RNA", at positions 506 to 784 of the family's 1533-position model. The record is from RNAcentral.